AGUGAACGCUGGCGGUAGGCCUAACACAUGCAAGUCGAACGGCAGCACAGUAAGAGCUUGCUCUUACGGGUGGCGAGUGGCGGACGGGUGAGGAAUACAUCGGAAUCUACUUUUUCGUGGGGGAUAACGUAGGGAAACUUACGCUAAUACCGCAUACGACCUACGGGUGAAAGCAGGGGAUCUUCGGACCUUGCGCGAUUGAAUGAGCCGAUGUCGGAUUAGCUAGUUGGCGGGGGAAAGGCCCACCAAGGCGGCGAUCCGUAGCUGGUCUGAGAGGAUGAUCAGCCACACUGGAACUGAGACACGGUCCAGACUCCUACGGGAGGCAGCAGUGGGGAAUAUUGGACAAUGGGCGCAAGCCUGAUCCAGCCAUACCGCGUGGGUGAAGAAGGCCUUCGGGUUGUAAAGCCCUUUUGUUGGGAAAGAAAAGCAGCAGGUUAAUACCCCGCUGUUCUGACGGUACCCAAAGAAUAAGCACCGGCUAACUUCGUG
This 492-nucleotide ribosomal RNA is filed under the name uncultured bacterium. Its description in RNAcentral is "partial 16S ribosomal RNA". It matches the Rfam family "Bacterial small subunit ribosomal RNA", at positions 29 to 507 of the family's 1533-position model. The record is from RNAcentral.